CGCCGCGGUUAUACGAGAGGCCCAAAUCGAUGAAUGUCGGCGUAAAGGGUGGUUAAGGAAUAAAUUGAAUAGAGAAAAACGCUCUUCAAGCCGUUAUACGCCUCCAAGAGUAUGAAGAUCCCCCACGAAAGUAACUCUAAUAAACCUGAACCCACGAUAGCUCUGGUA
RNAcentral lists this ribosomal RNA (168 nucleotides) under Synodus jaculum (lighthouse lizardfish). Its description in RNAcentral is "partial small subunit ribosomal RNA". Lineage: Eukaryota; Metazoa; Chordata; Actinopteri; Aulopiformes; Synodontidae. The record is from RNAcentral.